UCUCCCUGAGAGAAGACACAGCACGUACUGAUCUUAACGGACUGUCAAUGCCCAAUUGGCAAUCCUAUGAUUAGGAACGUUUAGGAUGUGUCUACGAAAGACUGGUCUCAUGAAUCUAAUUUCUUUAGAUUGCAUUCUCCCAAUCACAUAUUCCUUGGACUUAUCGUUUAAGCAUAUAACAUUUAUAUGAGACGGCUCAAACAAUAAUCUUUGCCCUUUAUAUUUAAACUACAUUAGUUUAACUUUGUGAAAUGUCCGUAAAGUAUCAUCAUAUGAUUGGUUUUAGGGCACAUUUCCAACAACAGGAUCCUUCUCUCCCUCCCCCGUGCCUCUCUCUCCUCUCUCACGGCUUUCUCUCUCUCUUCCUCUGGAAUGGUACGGACAAGGGCCAAUGCCCUCGAAUCUUCACGGAUCGACGUCAAAAAGGUAAGUUUGUGAAUCCUUGCAAGCUUGUGAGUUCAUUGGUAUAAUUUUUAGAACUUGGAACCCUCGAUAUCACGUGAACUCCGAAACCCGUUUUGAGAUCAUUGUUCAUGCACACGUGAAUUGUUGAAUUUCAGGGAAUUUUGAGCUUAUAGUGAGCUUAGUGAGGUCCUAAGGAAGCUCGGAGUGCUUAGUUUGAAGGUUUUGGACGUCGGGAUCACAGAGUUCAAAGUUGGCCGGUUUUCUUGGAAUUUUUCCGGUGAGAUUUAGUUGUUUUUAGAGCCUUAAAUUAGUCCAAUGUGAUUCUACAUGUUAAGGGCUUCAAGUUGAUAUAAAAUACGAAGAAAACGGUUGAGAAACGACGGAGAACAAGGAGAUUGAAAAAUCUCCAAUUUUCCGGCCACCGGAAAACUCAGUCCGGCGAGCUCGAGGAAAAGACGCGCGUGGGGGUGCGUGCCACUUAAAAAAAAAAUUCUAAAAAUUUCUUGACGUCCGUGACGUCGAGUAGGUCGAUGCGGUAUAUUCAUAUACCCAAAUUGAGCACCUAUGAGAAGUUAUUUCGAAUUGUUGGUUAUGUGCAUGAAAUUAACGUUUUUAUAGUUGUUUCGCAUAUAGGUGACACCUAUCCCGAGGACGAGCGCAUCCAGGGACAUCACGAGGGUUACGACCCAUCAACUUACCAGUGAGUGGGUGAAGGAUGAUUUUGUGAAAACAUGUUCAUUUGAAUAACAUCUAUAGCAUGCAUUUAACAAUUAAAAGGCG
This 1185-nucleotide long non-coding RNA is filed under the name Malus domestica (apple). RNAcentral's name for it is "long non-coding RNA (MDOM_LNC006063)". Lineage: Eukaryota; Viridiplantae; Streptophyta; Magnoliopsida; Rosales; Rosaceae. The record is from RNAcentral.